GAGUUUGAUCAUGGCUCAGGAUGAACGCUGGCGGCGUGCCUGAUACAUGCAAGUCGUGCGGCAACGAGUUUGCACUUGUUGUUCGAUCGAGCUAACUAUUUAGUUCAGUGAAUCGAAUGAUGAGUGCAAAAUGUCGGCGAGCGGCGGACGGCUGAGUAACGCGUAGGAACGUACCCCAAAGUGAGGGAUAAGCCCCAGAAAUGGAGUCUAAUACCGCAUAUGGUCUUCGGAUUAAAGCUUUUAGCGCUUUGGGAGCGGCCUGCGUUCGAUUAGCUUGUUGGUAAGGUAAUGGCUUACCAAGGCGACGAUCGAUAGCUGGUCUGAGAGGAUGAUCAGCCAGACUGGAACUGAGAUACGGUCCAGACUCCUACGGGAGGCAGCAGUAAGGAAUCUUCCACAAUGGGCGAAAGCCUGAUGGAGCAACGCCGCGUGCAGGAUGAAGGCCUUCGGUCGUAACUGCUUUAUGUGCGAUGAAUUGACAGUAACACAUAG
This 492-nucleotide ribosomal RNA is filed under the name uncultured bacterium. RNAcentral describes it as "bacterial SSU rRNA". It matches the Rfam family "Bacterial small subunit ribosomal RNA", at positions 9 to 485 of the family's 1533-position model. The record is from RNAcentral.